Nicotiana tabacum (common tobacco) is the source of this 591-nucleotide long non-coding RNA. RefSeq lists it as uncharacterized. NCBI's taxonomy places the organism in Eukaryota, Viridiplantae, Streptophyta, Magnoliopsida, Solanales, Solanaceae. The record is from RefSeq and is a predicted model, not a curated record.
UCAAAUUAAAUUGUGUAUGUUAUUAUUGUUUUAAGUCAAACAUUACUUGAUAAUGCUGAUUACUUUCCUGCCUCACAUAAUCACACUUGCUUGAGGAUAAAUCUCCAAUUAUUGUCCUAUAAAUACUGAACUCUUGACAUCUGUCUUUCUUCAACCAAAGAACCUUUUAAUUUUCUCCUCCUCUUCUUCUUCUUCUUCUUCUUUUUUCCUAUGGCUUCCCAUAAGAGUAUCACCGUCUCCACUACAGAUAACUGCGCCAACGGCGAUUCAUUGCCGACAAACUCGCCGAAAGGCCAGUGCCUGUGCUCGCCGACGACUCAUAGAGGAUCUUUCAGGUGCAGGUAUCACCGUACCCCAUCUUCUGGUAACACAGCAAGUGAAUGGUUCAAGAGAUCAAAAUCCAUGCCUGUUAAUAAGCAAAAUAAUAUAUCUCCCAAAUCAGUUGAAUCUACUUAGAAUAUUAAUGUACUUUUUCGAUAUGUUUGAGUGGAUAAAUGGAAGAGUAUAUGGUCUCCUCUUUUUUCUCUUUUUUUUCGUCUUAAAUAUGUACAGUUUUUGAUAUUGCAAGGGACGUUCUCUUCUCUAGCUCCA